CGCCAUCACAGCCUGCCGGGGGUCUAGGGGGGCCGCGGACCACAGCCGGCCGGGCCGGGGGCGGGGC
This 67-nucleotide microRNA precursor is filed under the name Nannospalax galili (Upper Galilee mountains blind mole rat). RNAcentral describes it as "miRNA (ENSNGAG00000008885.1)". Lineage: Eukaryota; Metazoa; Chordata; Mammalia; Rodentia; Spalacidae. The record is from RNAcentral.